Molecule: non-coding RNA, 491 nt
Organism: Coffea arabica (coffee)
Lineage: Eukaryota; Viridiplantae; Streptophyta; Magnoliopsida; Gentianales; Rubiaceae
Source: RefSeq, a predicted model, not a curated record
UGUUCAUCCUCUGUCUAGGCAAUCCCUUUGCCGCUCCUGAUCUGAUCUUGAAGCCUUGCCUCCAUCACUCCAUGGGUUUAAAAUUCAACGGUUGCCUUUGCACUUCACCGGAAAAAUUAGCCGCCACCCACCUCUGUCCAGGCAAUCCCUUUGCGCCGCUCCUGAUCUGAUCUUGAAGCCUUGCCUCCAUGGUUAGACUCGCUGCUAAAGCCUUCCCUCAUUUUCCCCUGCUGAAAAUCCUCCCUCGGCGGCUCCGCCCUUUUGUUUAUGUUCUUUACUCCGGGAAAAUUGCUUGAGUUUAUACACACACAUACACACACACUGGUGCAUGGCUUGGCUGGUUUUUUUGUCGGUGAUCUGUAAAAGGCAUCUGUUGAAUUACCCGUCAAAUUCCGUCUAUGAUUCAUUGAAGCCAUGAGAUCUGAGGGCUUCUUAUGAAAUAUGUUUGAAAUUUUUUGCAUUUUUGGGAUAUUUAUUGCUUUAGUUUCUUA